This is a long non-coding RNA of Panthera uncia (snow leopard), 5379 nucleotides long. RefSeq lists it as uncharacterized. Lineage: Eukaryota; Metazoa; Chordata; Mammalia; Carnivora; Felidae. The record is from RefSeq and is a predicted model, not a curated record. The transcript is spliced from 2 exons.
AUGAAGACGGACGCCCCCUCCGGACGUUACUACCCAAAGAAGACGCGCAAACUUGUAGCGUCCCGUGUAGCACCCAACUGUGUAAGAGAUGCUGAAAGGUAAUUAAGUUUCCAGAAUCCAUGCAGCCAACAAGUGACCAGGCCCGAAUCUACAUCCGGUUUGUCUGAUUCCAAAACCUAUACUUCUCCAGUUCUACCACACAACAUUCUUUUUAUUGGGACCAGUUGGCAAAGAUUUCUUCUAAAGAGAGGACGCUGAAUUAGGACCUUUGGAGGUGCUUAGGGAAUCCAGCUGCUUCUGAUGUCAACAGUUGACUCAAGUCUUCAGAACUGAUCUUCCUGAAACUAGCUGUGUGUUCUCAGUGAGUCACUCUGCCCCUUAAGGCCUCAUUCCCACUUUGACUUAGAAAGAGCAUGGAGUGGAAAUGCAAUAGUCUCUGCAGAGCUUUCCAAUUCCAAAAUGGUAGGUUUGUGUCAGUAGGUCGACAACAUUUUUAAAAAAUAGCACAUAGGUCUAUGACUUUGGCAGAGGUUAGGGCACAUGGCUGUCACUCUGUCCCAGAAACCAUACAAUGACUAAAUCAAAGACGUUUAAUAAACUGAGGUGCACAUAGUAUUCUGAAGCGCAUUAAGAAAGUGCCGAAACUUGUGUUCAAGACUCUAUGAUCUACGACGGAGGUGUUAUGGGACAAGUGCUAUGAGAAUACCAGAGCCAGUAUAGUGGGGGGUGGGAUCAAAAAGAGAGAAAAGACCAUGGCCACCAGGGUGGAGGAGGCCAACGGCCUAGUGAUUGAGCUAAAUAUGACGAAUGAAUAUCAUCAGUGCAAUAGGGAAAAAAUAUGAGAGGUGAUAAGGAUGCAAUGAGCACAUGUUUGCAGUCAGAACAAGGUUAGUUGCUUCCAAGAAUAGUAAGGUUACAGAGAAGAUGGGGGAGUGAACUACAACCAUGGAGGAAGUGGUGAAGAGGGCAAGAGAUGGUCUGGCAAGAGACGUGAGAGCCUGAAACACAAGGCUUCUUCCUCUUCUGCUACUCAGAAGCGUUGAUGGACUGUUGAACAUCUUCAGCAGAGAAGUCCAAGGACAGGUUGGACGUCGCGUGCAAGAUGCCGCAGCGAAGGUGACCAUGAGCAAAGACCCAAUUUUACUAUCUAUGCAAUAGUUCAGGCUGUUAAGAUUGGAGAAUAGAAAUGUCUUUUCGUCUUCAAACUAAUAAAUCUAUAAUGAGGAAAUAGCCUUGUUACUCUAUAAAACCCCUGACACGAUUACUAUAGCCAUUGAAGUGUCUGCGUCUGUUCUGAUCAAAGAAGUUUCAAAGGAAGAACUCACAGAAUUCGGUGACUGAUUAGAUAAGGAACAAGUGGGGAAGAAAGUGUUCAAGAUGACUCAGAAGUUUGGUGUCUGUGAGACCAGGGGCCCUGUUUAGAAGAACUAUCCAUUCCAAAGUCAAGGGAAGGAUUCAGGGAAGGAAUAGCAAAUUUGGCUGCACACUUGUUGAAUUUAAAAUGCUUGGCAGGUGUCUGUGCGCAGAUGCACAGCAUGGGAUGGACACGUGGGCAGACUCAGUUGGAGCCUGGAUGAGAUAUGGCUACAGGCAGGGUGACCAAGGGAGACAGUGCAAACCAAAACUCAAAGAGGCCCAAAGGGUGAGCCUUGGGUACUCCCCACAACCACACUGAACUGAGUUCAGACAAUAAAGCAGAAGGAGAGGGUAGUGGAAAAGGAAGGAGGGUAGUGCAAUUUCCUUAAAGCCCAGGGAUAUGAAACAGUGAGCCAAAUGUUAUCAUUCCAGUUAUAGGUGAGGCAACUUGUGUUUAGGGAAGUUAAGUAACUAGCCCCAAACCACAGGGUUUGUGGAGGUGGAGCUAGGCUUAAGAUCUUACCCCUUCUGGUACAUUGCUCAGGCAUCGCCUCCUCCAGGAAGCCUCCCUGCUUACGACAUCAGACCCUGUCCCUUCCUCUACCCUCCCAAAGUACUCUAUGCGUCCGUCAGUCUUCCAGUCUAAGACAUCCGUCUGUUUCAUACUCGCAUUCAGAGCUCAGCCUAGAAUUAUUCCCAACUAAUCUUGACAUGGCCAAGGAAAAACAAAACAAAACAAAACAAAAAAACCUUUUAACCGAGGUAUGUUUGCAAAUGAGGGCAGUUGUACUUUGCAGAAUAAGUGUGGUGUAUUUUUGAAAAACAAAUUAGCAGACUCCUAUUUUUCGUAAGGAAAGUUUAAUUCUCCAGGAAUUCACUAAUCAAGUUAUCAGUGUACUUCAUCAAAUACAGUAUUUUUUUUUUUUUUCCUCACGAGGUAAAGGGGUAGCGGGACCUAGUAAAAUGGCCUCCUCUCAUGUGAUAUCUUCACCUGACUUGAUGGCAUCUUUCCUCUGGCUUCCCAGUAUGUGAGGAAAGACUCACGGGUCAAACGGAAGGGCAAUGCCUGACUCACACGAGCAAACGCUUCUUUGCCAAGCCCUAAUUUUCUGAGACUGCAGUGAAUUUUUGCCAAAGUGGAGGAAGUGGUGGUAGGAGCCAGAAAACUUACGUGGGGUGUAUGUGUGUGUAUGUAUUAGUGUGUGUGUGUGUGUGUGUGUGUGUGUGUGUGUGUGUGUGCUGGGAGGCAGGUUUGAGAGUCUAACUGACUCAGGCAGAAAUACUGACUCCAUUGCCCUCUUCCUUUCUGUAUGGCUUGGUUUUCAAACUGCUCCGUACCACACAUUCCUCAUUCUUAAAACAGGUGUGAUAGUAUUACCCACCUCGUAGAGUUUCCGUGAAGGAUACAUUCGAUGAUAUAUGUAAAGCAUUUGGUACAUGGCGUGGCCCACUGUAAAUACCCAAGAAAUAGUAGCAAUAAUUGAUGGCAAUGAUGGCCAUGAAUGAACACAUCAUAUACCAGAACUUGCCCACUUUUCAUGCAAUCUAUAAAAAGGGACGUGUCGUGAUGCAGAAUCUGAAAAAAAAAAAUCUAUAAAAGAAAUGGAAAAUGUCCAAAGGAGAUGCUAAUAAGAGUUGAGAUCAUUCGGUUAUUCUCCAUUCUCUCCCCACCCAAUGGAAUGUGUUCUUUGGCAAAGAUUAGAUGAUUUGCAAAGUGUCCAGAUUUGUUUACACAUUGUCCUCUUUCCCUCCCUCCAGUCCAUCUGCAUUUUGUUUGCCUUGACUUAUGAUCUUUCAGAUUAAGAAGAACUGCACUCAUGAGAAUCGCGUUAAGGGUGGGGACAGAAGAAAGAAAUUUGCCUUUAAGGAUCACAUACCAUGUGCUCUUAGUUUGAGACCAACCCUUCCUGCUCAGCCAUUACAUCAGUGCCAUUUUUAAACUAUUAUAACAUCCAUUUUCACUUGAUGAAACAGAGGUUCAGAUGGGGAAAUGACCGGACCAAAGGAUAUAGAUAGCAAAGCCAAGAUUUGAACCCAGGUCUAAGUAGCUCUGAAAUCAUGCUCUUUCCACUACGUGUGUCCCCUUAUAGUUGUUGGUACAUAAUUAAAACUAAAUGUUUCCUUGAUCUUUCUCUGGAGUAUUCAUUAAUGGGUAAAUAUUCUCCUAACACUUCUCUCUCAGUUGUCAAAUCAAAGCCAUUUACCCAAAUGAUGAGCACUUCCCUAGGAUAAAUUGUAAUUUCUUGUACAAAACCAAAUAGUCUGCUUUAAAGAAGGCAAUUUACCUGAAAAAAAAAAAACACAAUAGUUGCAAUUACUCUUGAAAAUGCUACUCUCUUCCUUGAAGGGGACCUUGAAGGUCCCCAUCUAUUACCACCUCCAUCUCUAAUCAAAGACUUCUGCGAUACCCUUUAUUGCCCUCUCCUGAAUGCCAGUCCUUGUGUUUCAGAGGACUUGGGCUCUCCUUUGGUACUUUCUUAGUUUGUUCUGCCAUAUCUAGGCCAACUGAGGCUCAAAUCUAAAUCCCAGGGAGAUAUGAAUUUAUUGAGGGCAAGUGUAAUGUCGAGUUUUAUCUUUGUGUCUUUUACUCUCCAGUGCAAUACCAUGCCUAAUGGAGGCCCUGAAUAAAUGUUUGUGAAAUUGUAGUUAUUGGUCUGCCUUCUUUGUGACCCUAGAACUUACUCACUCACUCAAUCCUGUCAUCCUGCAGACAGGAUCCUGCAUUAGCACUGAAAGCAUUGUUUCAACCUUUGGCUCUUUUUGUCUCUUGCUCUAUGGUUUAGGUAAACUCUCCCUGACCUCUAUACCAGAUCUGAAUUUUAAUAGGUAGAAAAGAGAGGAACCAGUUUCCCAGAAUAAAAGACCUAGAUAAGAUGAUUUUGAGUUUAUAUAGGAAAUAUAUGGAAGUGAGUUCACUUCCAUAUUGUCAUCAUCUUUGUCUCUAAUUCAAACCUGCUUUACCUCAAAGAAUGGUACCAUUCUCCACCCAUACCUAGGUGCCUCCACAUCUGUUGCCUGAAGACCUUUUGCGAAAGAAGGUAUUGGAAUGACCAAAAGAAGCACAGCGGGGAAAAAAAGUCUCAACAUGAUUAUUCAUCAGGGAAAUGCAAAUCAAAAGCACAAUGAGACUCUACUGAACACCCCCUAGAACAACUAAUAUUUAAAAAGACUGAAAAAAAUCUAGGUGUUGGUAAGGAUAUAGAACAGCGGAAACAACUCUCAUGCAUUGCUAGUGAGAAUGUAAGAAAAUACGACCACUUUGGAGAACACUUUGGUGACUUCUUAAAAGAUUAAACAGAUACCUUAUGACUCAACAAUUCCAUUUCUAAGGAUUGAUGCAGGGAGAUGAAAACCUGUCUACAAAAGACUUGUGCGAAGUGUAACGGCCACAAGUGGAAGCAAUUCAAAUGUUCAUCAGCAGCUGAAAGGAUAAACAAAUUGUGAUGCUUCCAUACAUUGAAAUUUCCAUACAACUACUCAGCAUUGAAGAGACACAAAUUAGCUACAUAUACAAUAUGGACAGAUCUUAAAAACAUGCUGAGCAAGAGAAGCUAACUCGAUGAGAAUACAUACCAUAGGGUUCCAUUUAUGUGAGGUUCUAGAACAGACAAAACUAAUUUACAAUGGCAGAAAUCAAACUAGUGGCUGUCUAGAAUAGGGAGUUCAGAGGGGUGGGAGGGAUGACUACAAAAGGGCAAGAGGGACCUUUUAGGGACAACAAAAAUAUUCUCUAUAUUGAUUAGGUUUGGGUUACAUUACAUGUGUAUGAAUUUAUCAAAACAUAUCAAACUGAAAACUUUAAACAUCCAUUGGUAGAUGAAUGGAUAAGGAAGAUGUGGUACCUAUAUACAGUGGAAUAUUAUGCAGCCAUAAAAAAGGAUGAGAUCGUGACAUUUGUGGUCACGCGGAUGGACCUAGAGGGUAUCAUGCUAAAUGAAAUAUGUCAGACUGAGAAAGACAAAUAUCACGUGAUUUCACUCAUAUGUCGAAUCUAAAAUAAAUAAAUAAACAAACAAACAAAAA